UGACAGAUGCAUAUUCUGUGCCUUUUCGCC
Molecule: non-coding RNA, 30 nt
Filed under: Mus musculus (house mouse)
Lineage: Eukaryota; Metazoa; Chordata; Mammalia; Rodentia; Muridae
Source: RNAcentral